Molecule: long non-coding RNA, 443 nt
Filed under: Lotus japonicus
Lineage: Eukaryota; Viridiplantae; Streptophyta; Magnoliopsida; Fabales; Fabaceae
Description: long non-coding RNA (LJAP_LNC001766)
Source: RNAcentral
UUUUGGUGGAAUAUCUAUAAAAAAAAAACCUGAAGAAAAGAAUUUGAAAUUAGCAUGACAAGUGAUGAACGAAAUUGACCUUGAAGUCAAACAUGAGUGAAUGAAAGUUAAAAGUAAAGUAAAAUAAAAUUGAAAAAAACCAUAACAUAUUAUGCAAGCAAAGGAAGAAAAUAAUUUGAAACCUCCAUCUGUAACCUUCCCAAUCAGUCCAAGGCAGCAAAUCGGAGGGAUGCGAUUGCACGUUGAUGGCAAAGUGGUUCCGUGGAGAGAUGAGGCGAUUUUGUGGGGGUGGUUCCGUUCAGUGGAGAGAUGGGAUGAGAAUUGCAUGGAGGAGAUGAAUUCCAUGGAGGAGAUGGUGGAGGUAGGCAGGGUUUUAAGAGGGUUUUUGGUGAUGAGAUGUAUUAUUGAUUUAAAUCACUUAUCACAGAUUUUAUAUUAAGAUA